GGUGAGUAACACGUGAGCAACCUGCCCCUGACUCUGGGAUAAGCGCUGGAAACGGCGUCUAAUACUGGAUACGAGUAGCGAUCGCAUGGUCAGUUACUGGAAAGAUUUUUUGGUUGGGGAUGGGCUCGCGGCCUAUCAGCUUGUUGGUGAGGUAAUGGCUCACCAAGGCGUCGACGGGUAGCCGGCCUGAGAGGGUGACCGGCCACACUGGGACUGAGACACGGCCCAGACUCCUACGGGAGGCAGCAGUGGGGAAUAUUGCACAAUGGGCGAAAGCCUGAUGCAGCAACGCCGCGUGAGGGAUGACGGCCUUCGGGUUGUAAACCUCUUUUAGCAGGGAAGAAGCGAAAGUGACGGUACCUGCAGAAAAAGCGCCGGCUAACUACGUGCCAGCAGCCGCGGUAAUACGUAGGGCGCAAGCGUUAUCCGGAAUUAUUGGGCGUAAAGAGCUCGUAGGCGGUUUGUCGCGUCUGCUGUGAAAUCCCGAGGCUCAACCUCGGGCCUGCAGUGGGUACGGGCAGACUAGAGUGCGGUAGGGGAGAUUGGAAUUCCUGGUGUAGCGGUGGAAUGCGCAGAUAUCAGGAGGAACACCGAUGGCGAAGGCAGAUCUCUGGGCCGUAACUGACGCUGAGGAGCGAAAGGGUGGGGAGCAAACAGGCUUAGAUACCCUGGUAGUCCACCCCGUAAACGUUGGGAACUAGUUGUGGGGUCCAUUCCACGGAUUCCGUGACG
RNAcentral lists this ribosomal RNA (732 nucleotides) under Microbacterium sp. RNAcentral describes it as "bacterial SSU rRNA". It matches the Rfam family "Bacterial small subunit ribosomal RNA", at positions 105 to 848 of the family's 1533-position model. Lineage: Bacteria; Bacillati; Actinomycetota; Actinomycetes; Micrococcales; Microbacteriaceae. The record is from RNAcentral.